RNAcentral lists this long non-coding RNA (2894 nucleotides) under Cricetulus griseus (Chinese hamster). Its description in RNAcentral is "lncRNA (ENSCGRG00015035922.1)". The record is from RNAcentral. Lineage: Eukaryota; Metazoa; Chordata; Mammalia; Rodentia; Cricetidae.
GAUGGUGGUGAUGGUGAUGGUGGUGAUGGUGAUGAUGGUGAUGAUGAUGGUGAUGGUGGUGAUGGUGAUGAUGGUGAUGAUGAUGGUGGUGAUGGUGAGGAUGGUGAUGAUGGUGAUGGUGGUGAUGGUAGUGAUGGUGGUGAUGGUGAUGAUGGUGGUGAUGGUGAUGAUGGUGGUGGUGGUGAUGGUGAUGGUGGUGGUGGUGAUGGUGGUGGUGGUGAUGGUGGUGGUGGUGGUGUGAAGUGCACUUUGCAGUGUUACUCUGUCAGUUCAUAAGUACAUGUGGUGUCCAUUCUGAGACCCAGGGAGUGGUGAAUUCUGCACUUGUCACUUGCUGGCAUCCUAGGGUACCACCGGCUAGGUGACUAACAGGAAGGCUGUGGCACAUUCAGGGUGUUGGCAGUGCACACUCCCUCAGCAUCUCGUCUGGUCCCCAUGGGCCUAGCAACCCUGCUGGACUUGUUCAUUGAGCCAGAGCAGCUGAGUGAGUUGUCCAGGCUGCUCCAGUCUGGUGCUGUCUCCUGGGAAACUGGCUCUUUCCAGAGCAGAGUCAUUCUAUCAGCCCGGGAAGUCCCUGAAUUAAAGAUGUGGAAAUUUGGGAACUGUGGAGGUGGAAAUGAGCAAACCAAAGCAGAAAGAGGCAAACAAGGAAAACCUUGGCGGAAUGGGAGCUAAGCUAUCCUGUGUCGAGAGAGAGAGAGAGCGCGGGAGAGGGAGAGAGAGAGAGAGGGAGAGAGAGACAGAGAUUUGGGGAUGGACUGAGACACUGAGACAUGGACGUGGCACGAUGACAAUGGAGAUGGCGGCCCCUUUGUGCCCCCUAAGAGGAUCUGAAUGUGGAUAAGCGUGUUGGCCAUGGGGCCGGAAGUGUUGCCUUUAACCUGCUGUCUUUCUCCUUAUUAAUUAUAUAAUUUUGGACAAAUAGCAUCCACCCCUCUGUGCCGAGUUUUCUGGUGUGCACAGGAUGAGAACAACCGUGUCUGUGCGUUGAUUGUCCUAUGGUACCUUUGUGCAGGGGGAUUGUGGGUACUUCAUCCCCGCCCCAAGGCAGAUAACUUUGUGAAGAGAAAAGGUUUCCUUAGUUUACAGUUUGAGAAGUUCAAAACCCAGGUGUCAGCACCGUGGGUGUGGCAUCUGGAGAGAAUGGCAAGUGAUGGCACGUCACAACCGGAACUCGUGUAGUAGCAAGCAGGCCUUUCUGGAGAGAAAUGGCAUGUGUUAGACCAGGUUUGCUUUCUAAUAACAGCCUUCUUCUGAGGGGUCCCAGGAUAAUAACCACAGUCACAUGAGAACUCCACACACGGCCCUCCCCACCAACGACCUAAGAAGCUCCUAAAAUGUCUCACCUCUAGGAGACCCCACUGCCCCCAAACAAGGCCAUUCUGGAGAUAGCCCUUGAGGGAUUAGCGUAAGUGGCUGGAGCCUGCAUCUCUUCAGGAGUUUAAGGAGUUAAGAGUUGCAGUCUUGGCUCUGCCUUUUGCUUUUGGAUUCGCUUUGAGUUUUGGAAUACUUAUCUCCUCCAAACCUCAUCUGUUUCACCUGCAAAAUGCAAAAGUAUCAGUCUGUAGGGAGGGUGUGAGGGUCACGUGAUCAGUGUUUAACACCGACUCUUGGGACAGGACUUGAUUUGCAGCAUCUGCUCGCUCAUUCCCACGGUGCAAAUGCUCCCACUGCAGCUGACUUCAGGGUAGCAUUGCAGUGUCUCUGAAGGUGGAGUCAGAAGAAACGGGCAUCGUUAUCUUCCAUCCCCACAGCACGGAAUCAAGACAUUACCUGAGCCUAGAUAACAGUUAAGGGCAGUGAAGUAAUUAGGAACUGAAGGGCUCUUAUUGCAUUUGUUUUUUAAUGUAAUUUGUUUAAUUGUGAGCUUACAUAAUAUAGUUUUUAAUAACUGCUGUUCAUAACCGGCUUGCAAAGUUCUUGAAAAUUUAAUAAUCAGCUCUGGCAAGCUGGUCCAAGCUGGCUUCACAUACUGUUGAAUGUGCUAAAGCUCCAGCGAGGCCUAGAGAGGACACGGCAAGUACGCAGUGCUCCAUCAUCGGGAGCCUAUGCAGUUGUUGUUAUGUGUUUUAUUAUGCAAUCUCUGAUGACAGUAGGGGGAAAAAACAGGCCGUGGAAAAAAAAUCUGUAGUAGUUGCCUUUUCCACUCCUGCAUCAAAAGACUCAACAGAGCAAGUUUGGGCAGAGAGAUUUCUUUGGGCUGACAGUUUCAGAUGUUAGUGUUAGUGCCUGAUGGAGGUGUUGUUAGUACUCAAUGGUGUGUGGUCCUGAUGGAGAUGUUAGUACUCAGUGGUGUUGUGAUCCUGAUGGAGGUGUUAGUACUCAGUGGUGUUGUGAUCCUGAUGGAGGUGUUAGUACUCAGUGGUGUGUGGUCCUGAUGGAGGUGUUAGUACUCAGUGGUGUUGUGGUCCUGAUGGAGAUGUUAGUACUCAGUGGUGUUGUGAUCCUCAUGGAGGUAUUAGUACUCAAUGGUGUGUGGUCCUGAUGGAGGUGUUAGUACUCAAUGGUGUGUGGUCCUGAUGGAGGUGUUAGUACUCAGUGGUGUUGUGGUCCUGAUGGAGGUGUUGUUAGUACUCAGUGGUGUGUGGUCCUGAUGGAGGUGUUAGUACUCAGUGGUGUGUGGUCCUGAUGGAGGUGUUAGUACUCAGUGGUGUGUGGUCCUGAUGGAGGUGUUAGUACUCAGUGGUGUGUGGUCCUGAUGGAGAUGUUAGUACUCAGUGGUGUGUGGUCCUGAUGGAGAUGUUAGUACUCAGUGGUGUUGUGGUCCUGAUGGAGGUGUUAGUACUCAGUGGUGUUGUGGUCCUGAUGGAGGUGUUAGUACUCAGUGGUGUGUGGUCCUGAUGGAGGUGUUAGUACUCAGUGGUGUGUGGUCCUGAUGGAGGUGUUAGUACUCA